GAUGAACGCUGGCGGCGUGCCUAAUACAUGCAAGUCGAGCGAACAGACGAGGAGCUUGCUCCUCUUACGUUAGCGGCGGACGGGUGAGUAACACGUGGAUAACCUACCUAUAAGACUGGGAUAACUUCGGGAAACCGGAGCUAAUACCGGAUAAUAUAUUGAACCGCAUGGUUCAAUAGUGAAAGACGGUUUUGCUGUCACUUAUAGAUGGAUCCGCGCCGCAUUAGAUAGUUGUUAAGGUAACGGCUUACCAAGGCAACGAUGGGUAGACGCCCUGACAGGGUGAUAGGCCACACGGGAACUGAGCCACGGUCAAGACUCCUACGGGAGGCAGCAGUAGGGAAUCUUCCGCAAUGGGCGAAAGCCUGACGGAGCAACGCCGCGUGAGUGAUGAAGGUCUUCGGAUCGUAAAACUCUGUUAUUAGGGAAGAACAAAUGUGUAAGUAACUAUGCACGUCUUGACGGUACCUAAUCAGAAAGCCACGGCUAACUACGUG
Molecule: ribosomal RNA, 497 nt
Filed under: uncultured bacterium
Lineage: Bacteria
Description: partial 16S ribosomal RNA
Rfam family: Bacterial small subunit ribosomal RNA
Source: RNAcentral